This 265-nucleotide ribosomal RNA is filed under the name uncultured Anabaena sp. RNAcentral's name for it is "partial 16S ribosomal RNA". It matches the Rfam family "Bacterial small subunit ribosomal RNA", at positions 567 to 834 of the family's 1533-position model. The record is from RNAcentral. Lineage: Bacteria; Bacillati; Cyanobacteriota; Cyanophyceae; Nostocales; Nostocaceae.
GUCCGCAGGUGGCCAUGUAGUCUGCUGUUAAAGAGUCAUGCUCAACAUGAUAAAAGCAGUGGAAACUACACGCUAGAGUACGUUCGGGGCAGACCGGGAAUUCCUGGUGUAGCGGUGAAAUGCGUAGAUAUCGGAAGAACACCGGUGGCGAAAGCGCUCUGCUAGGCCGUAACUGACACUGAGGGACGAAGCUAGGGGAGCGAAUGGGAUUAGAUACCCCAGUAGUCCUAGCCGUAAACGAUGGAUACAGGCGUGGCUUGUAUCG